GACGAACCGUGCGAACGUUAUUCGGAAUCACUGGGCUUAAAGGGCGCGUAGGCGGGCAGCCAAGUCAAGGGUGAAAUCGUUCGGCCCAACCGGACAAGUGCCCUCGAUACUGGCUGUCUCGAGGGAGGUAGGGGUCUGUGGAACUUCCGGUGGAGCGGUGAAAUGCGUAGAUAUCAGGAGGAACGCCGGUGGCGAAAGCGACUCUCUGGGCCGCUCCUGACACUAAAGCGCGAGAGCUAGGGGAGCAAACAGG
Molecule: ribosomal RNA, 253 nt
Filed under: uncultured bacterium
Lineage: Bacteria
Description: partial 16S ribosomal RNA
Rfam family: Bacterial small subunit ribosomal RNA
Source: RNAcentral